This 464-nucleotide ribosomal RNA is filed under the name uncultured Klebsiella sp. RNAcentral's name for it is "bacterial SSU rRNA". It matches the Rfam family "Bacterial small subunit ribosomal RNA", at positions 338 to 795 of the family's 1533-position model. Lineage: Bacteria; Pseudomonadati; Pseudomonadota; Gammaproteobacteria; Enterobacterales; Enterobacteriaceae. The record is from RNAcentral.
CCUACGGGAGGUGCAGUGGGGAAUAUUGCACAAUGGGCGCAAGCCUGAUGCGGCCACGCCGCGUGUGUGAAGAAGGCCUUCGGGUUGUAAAGCACUUUCAGCGGGGAGGAAGGCGGUGAGGUUAAUAACCUCAUCGAUUGACGUUACCCGCAGAAGAAGCACCGGCUAACUCCGUGCCAGCAGCCGCGGUAAUACGGAGGGCGCAAGCGUUAAUCGGAAUUACUGGGCGUAAAGCGCACGCAGGCGGUCUGUCAAGUCGGAUGUGAAAUCCCCGGGCUCAACCUGGGAACUGCAUUCGAAACUGGCAGGCUAGAGUCUUGUAGAGGGGGGUAGAAUUCCAGGUGUAGCGGUGAAAUGCGUAGAGAUCUGGAGGAAUACCGGUGGCGAAGGCGGCCCCCUGGACAAAGACUGACGCUCAGGUGCGAAAGCGUGGGGAGCAAACAGGAUUAGAUACCCGGGUAGUC